RNAcentral lists this unclassified non-coding RNA (359 nucleotides) under soil metagenome. RNAcentral's name for it is "partial contains 5.8S ribosomal RNA, internal transcribed spacer 2, and large subunit ribosomal RNA". The stretch from base 1 to 120 matches the Rfam family "5.8S ribosomal RNA", at positions 35 to 154 of the family's 154-position model. The record is from RNAcentral.
GAUGAAGAACGUAGUGAAACGCGAUAGUUAAUGUGAAUUGCAGAAUUCAGUGAAUCAUCGAGUCUUUGAACGCACAUUGCGCCCCCUGGUAUUCCGGGGGGCAUGCCUGUCCGAGCGUCAUUGCUGCCCAUCAAGCGCGGCUUGUGUGUUGGGCCGCCGUCCGCCUUCCCCCCCGGGGGGAGGGGGACGGGCCCGAAAGGCAGCGGCGGCACCGCGUCCGGUCCUCGAGCGUAUGGGGCUCUGUCACCCGCUCUGGAGGCCCGGCCGGCGCCCGCCGACCCCCAACCUUCUUCUAACCAGGUUGACCUCGGAUCAGGUAGGGAUACCCGCUGAACUUAAGCAUAUCAAUAAGCGGAGGA